GAUGAACGCUGGCGGCAUGCUCAACACAUGCAAGUCGAACGGGAAGUGGUGUUUCCAGUGGCGAACGGGUGAGUAACGCGUAAGAACCUGCCCUUGGGAGGGGAACAACAACUGGAAACGGUUGCUAAUACCCCGUAGGCUGAGGAGCAAAAGGAGAAAUCCGCCCAAGGAGGGGCUCGCGCCUGAUUAGCUAGUUGGUGAGGUAAUAGCUUACCAAGGCGAUGAUCAGUAGCUGGUCCGAGAGGAUGAUCAGCCACACUGGGACUGAGACACGGCCCAGACUCCUACGGGAGGCAGCAGUGGGGAAUUUUCCGCAAUGGGCGAAAGCCUGACGGAGCAAUGCCGCGUGGAGGUGGAAGGCCUACGGGUCGUCAACUUCUUUUCUCGGAGAAGAAACAAUGACGGUAUCUGAGGAAUAAGCAUCGGCUAACUCUGUG
This 437-nucleotide ribosomal RNA is filed under the name uncultured bacterium. Its description in RNAcentral is "partial 16S ribosomal RNA". It matches the Rfam family "Bacterial small subunit ribosomal RNA", at positions 28 to 507 of the family's 1533-position model. The record is from RNAcentral.